AUGGUACUCUUCAGACUAGAAGGAGCUUCCAGUUGAAUUCACCAGGGGACAAAAUGAGGACAACAGGUGAACAAGCUUUUUCUACGUUUACAUACCAAGUCAGAUCUGUUCCGGGUAAAUUAGUGUCAAAUGGCCUUUCAUUUCAGCUUUAUGCUGGAAUAAACAGCAUGAGCAAGUUUGUUGGCCUGGGGGUGGAGGGGUGAGGUGGGCGCUAAGCCUUUUUUUAAGAUUUUUCAGGUACCCCUCAAUAAAGGCACCCGAAGGCUUAAAGUAGGACAACCCUGGCGCCUUCCUGUGGCAAGAGAGACAACAAAGCGCUAUUAAACUAAGGUCAAUCUAAGUGGUGUCAGCCUCACAACCCCACCUUCGGUUAGACAUGAGGACUUGCCUCAACUGCCUCUGGGGAGUGAAGCAUCCAAAGGAAUGCCUGCGUACCUUGCGUACCCCCGGCCUGUGUAACGCCUCCCUGGGCUGUUUUUAGAGCAGCCCUUGAUGAAGCCCAGACCUGAGUGGUGCUUGAAGGGGAGGGAAAGGGGGAAAGCGGGCAACCACUUCUCCCUAGCUUUUCCAGAAACCUGUUAAAAAGCAAGGUCUCCCCACAAGUGACUUCUCUGCCACAUCGCCACCCCCUGCCUUUGGCCUAGCGCAGACCCUUCACCCCUCACCUCGAUGCUGUCGGUAGCUUGGAUCCUUGUGGGCAUGAUCCAUAAGCAGUUUAAGACUUUUUCAGGUGAACAUAACAGACUUGGCCAAGCUAGCAUCUUAGCUGAAGCAGAUUCUCCAGUGCUCUUCAGUAGGGUCUUAAAAUUUAAAGGUUUUUCUUUUCCUGAGAAAACAAAAUACUUUGUUUUCUCAGGUUUUGCUUUUUGGCCUUUACCUAGCUUUAAAAAAAAAAGCAAAAGAUGCUGGUGGUUGGCACUCCUGGCUUCCAGGACAGGGUUCAAAUCCCUGCGGCGUCUUUGCUUGACUUUUACUUCUGCCUUUCCGUUUUCCUCCUUUUUCUUCAGAUGAAGUUAGGGGAAGUGGAAGUAGCUUCAAACUAUACUAUACCUCUUGAUUGAAUUUGUCCUAAACUGGUUUGUGUUUGUAUUUUCACAGGAAUCUAGUGUAAUUACUUUGCCCUUUUAAUUUUCAGGUAUCUCUCAUGCAUCUGUUGUUUGGAGCAGUCUCACUAUUUUUAAAAAUAGAUGACAUAUUAAUAAAGGUUGAAAAACUUCAUUGGUGUGAUUCUUUUGUGCAUAAGCUGAACUUCUCUAUCCAUGAGUAGUCAGAAGAUGGGUGUCUUGUGGGGGUUCUUGUUCCUGUUUUAACUAGUUGUCUAAAAAGCACACUGCACUGUCAAGCCACCAAAUUUCUAGGGGGGCAGGGGACCCCUCUGGAGGGGGAGGUGGUCUAGUGGGUGAGUGACCCGAAAGACCCAGUAACAUACCCACAGAAAUAAGAAGGGACACUUUAAAGCAGCAGUUGGCCGUGAGUGUGGCUGGAUCUGGAGAGCUGGAGACCACGUGGUCUGGUAGGUUGUCGAUUCCCAAGCUGUAAAGUGAUCUUGUGGUCACCUGUCCUGUGGAAUGGCCAGUGUUCCGGCAGAUAGACCUUCAAUUGCAACUGAAGUGCCCUUUUUAAGUCCUACCCAUCUUUUAAGUCCUUGCUUCUCAAGCCCUGUUCCCUGAAAAGGAGAGC
Molecule: long non-coding RNA, 1680 nt
Filed under: Sus scrofa (pig)
Lineage: Eukaryota; Metazoa; Chordata; Mammalia; Artiodactyla; Suidae
Source: RNAcentral